RNAcentral lists this non-coding RNA (46 nucleotides) under Schistosoma haematobium. The record is from RNAcentral. Lineage: Eukaryota; Metazoa; Platyhelminthes; Trematoda; Strigeidida; Schistosomatidae.
GCACUGCUGAGGAGUUGCACGAUAGGACGAAACGGCCGUCCAGUGC